GAUUAACGCUGGCGGCGUGCAUAACACAUGCAAGUCGAACGAUGAAACUUAACUGAUUUCUUCGGAAUGAUUUUAAGUGGCUUAGUGGCGGACGGGUGAGUAACGCGUGAGUAACCUGCCUUGGAGAAGGGGAUAGCCUUUGGAAACGAAGAAUAAUACCCUAUGAUAUGAUAAUAUCUCAUGAUAUUAUCAUCAAAGAUUUAUCGCUCUAAGAUGGACUUGCGUCUGAUUAGUUAGUUGGUGAGGUAACAGCUCACCAAGGCAGCGAUCAGUAGCCGGCUUGAGAGAGUGUACGGCCACAUUGGGACUGAGACACGGCCCAGACUCCUACGGGAGGCAGCAGUGGGGAAUUUUGCACAAUGGGGGAAACCCUGAGGCAGCGACGCCGCGUGAUUUAGAAGGCCUUCGGGUUGUAAAAAUCUUUUGUAUGGGAAGAAAAUGACAGUACCAUACGAAUAAGGACCGGCUAAUUACGUG
Molecule: ribosomal RNA, 477 nt
Filed under: uncultured bacterium
Lineage: Bacteria
Description: partial 16S ribosomal RNA
Rfam family: Bacterial small subunit ribosomal RNA
Source: RNAcentral